AUGGAAGCACCACCUGUCAACUCCAAGCUUCUUCAUGAACUCGAAUUGAGAUAUCACCGAAACACCAUGGCCAGGGAAUUUGUGCCAUCCUCCCAAGGCCAGUUCUUUGUAGGUGCACCAAAAGGAUCUCCUCCAGUACCCUGAAACAUAUGCCAGAAUGCCACACUGAACCGCAACCUAACCGGCAGCACAAAACAAAUAUAUAAUCCUAGUGCAGCACAUAAUGUAGAAGUAAAUUAA
Molecule: ribosomal RNA, 240 nt
Filed under: Triticum aestivum (bread wheat)
Lineage: Eukaryota; Viridiplantae; Streptophyta; Magnoliopsida; Poales; Poaceae
Description: partial small subunit ribosomal RNA
Source: RNAcentral